CUUGUGCUCUCUCUCACUCCCUCUUGCGAAAAUAAAUAAACUUAAAAAAACUUAAAAAAUAAAAUAAAAUAAAUGGUCCCUCUCUAGGGCCUCCUUCCCUUGCCAGCCCAGCCGAUGUUGGUCUUUCCUCCUAAGUCAGUGUCUCUCAAAUUAAUGAUCUUGUUUUUCUUCCCAGCCCUUAUCAGCAUUUGGAACUAGUUGUGUAUUUUUUAUUCUUUGUCUCUUCCCGACAAGACUGUAAACUUCUCCAAAGCAAGGACUCUUCAUAGCAGGGACUCAAGAAAUUUUUACCAAGCAAAGUUAAAUCAUCUGCUCCAAGUCACACAGCUCGUUAGGGAUUACCUUUCACUGUGGCAGCCAAGUAAACUGGAAUGUAAGUAGACUGGCGAUAGAUGGAAGCAUUAACGAUAUGUUGUUGCACAGCUUAAAGAAAACAGUGCUCCCAGGCUGGCAGUGACACUGGCCAUUAGGCCCGGUGACCACCAUGCACCUGGCCCAGAAAUGGGUUCCCACUUGGCCCAGGAUAAUUCCACCGUCUCCAUUUGACGAUGCCAGUGUAGCAGUGACUCACUUUGCACACAUCUGUGGAUUCCUGUCAGAGCUGGUUAUCUGUCUAAGGAGGGAUGUUAACAUUUAUGGCAGUGAGCAGGGACGUGUGACAGUUCAAGAAAGCAAGGUGCCAGCUACCUUUUGGAGCUGCAGGUGGUUUUUAUGAAAGCAGAAUAUUGCCACUUAUUAUUUAUUUCACUUUUUAUUUUUAAAAUGUGAUUAAUAUAGCUCGCCAAUAAAUUUGGCCGGGCACAAGUAUUUAUGAAGCAUUCUUGGCAGGCUUGGGGUGACACAGCCUAAUUGCUAGGUGGGCAGAGGCAGCCCUGUGAAGUGAGCUGCUCAGCCUGAAUGCGAACCAGCCUCAUUUUAUGGGCUUCUGAGGCGGUGGUUCUCACUGAGCUCUGGGGGAAUAAUCCCAGGAGGCUCCUAGCAGGGGAAGCAAGGCGAGAGAAGGCUGACAGAGCCUGAGAGGCCGUGGAGAGAGCUCCAGGCAGGUAGGCCAGGGUUCAAAGCCCAGCCCCCCAAGGGAGUGGCAUAAGCUGGGCAACCCCUCUAAAUCUCUGUUUCCCCACAUGUAAAAGGUUUCAAAGGGUUGCUGAGAGGGUUUAAUGAGUCCACAUUUGGAAAGUGUCCUACAGUGCCUUACAAAUAAAUAAUAGGUACUCAGGAACGUUAAGUUUGAUAUUUACAAGAUGAUGGCCUCUCUAGAACAAAGCUUGGUUUUGAAUCCUAGCUCUGCCACUAUUAGCUGUGUGGCUCUGGGUAAUUACUGAACUCCUCUGUGCCUCAGUUCCUUCAGGCAUAAAAGGGGAAUAACCAGAGGGCUGCAAAAAGGAUUAAAUGAGACAAUCUAUACCUAGCACUCCACCGGUACCUAAUAUAGCUGCUAAAUUGUUGUUACUUCUUCCCUUGCCUUCUGCCUGCCUCCUUCCGUGGUCUGGCCCGAAAGACAUUUCCUGCUGGUGAAUUCCUACUUCUCCUUUGAAGCCUAGUUGAAAUAUCACCUCUUCUGUAAAGUCUUCUGUGACCGGUUUAGCAGAAGUAAUAACGUCUGCCCUGUCUGCAGACAAGACACUUUGUACAUCUCCAUGCUGAUCACUCUCAGAGCCCUGCAUUAUAGGAUGGUCCCACCUUCAGGGUAGGACGAGGUUUUAUUUGCUGCAAACCUGCUACAGUAGAUGUCCAACCCUCACCAACUCACAGCACACAGAGAGAGAAGAGGGUAAUAUUGGCCUGGCAGUGCCACCUCUAACUACCUGGUAGCAGAGGAGAUCGAUAACUGUGUCCCCCUAUAACUCGUUUGCAGCACACUGGGAAGCCUGUGUGGCUAAGUUCUGGCCUGGUGCCUAGAGUCCGUGGCCCAGCUCUCAGGGGGUGCUUGGGGAAUGUGUGCUGGUGAAGGAUGGGUCACAGGGAUUGUCUUAGCAGCUGCCACCUCUCCCUGUCAACAGUUUGAGUAGGACCAGGUGGUGACAGUGCUGGAUUAGUGGAGGAAAGAGCUGUCCCUUGGGGCUCCUGGAUCCCCAAGUUGAAGUGGAGACCAGAGACCCUGUCAGGUCUGUGAAGCUGUGUGUUUCAGGUGAGUUCCACAGUUCAGGCCAAAGACAGGUUGUCCUGCUUCACAGGCUCCCCAUCCCAGAGGAUGGGUGGGGUGUGUUGACUUCGGAGGGGUGGCACUGAGAACAGGGACAGGGUACCCUGAGACAGGCCCUUUGUCAGCAAAGCACCUGACCCUGCUUUCCCAGGCUAUUAAGCUGUGGCCAUCUUUCCGGGCCUGUGCUGUGAAGGAUCUCCCUUCCUCUUUCAGGGCUAAGGCAUUCACCAAAACGGGGCCUCCUCAAUGUGCCAGGGGCCGUGCUGCACACAGGGGGCACAGAGAUGGGUUAGACUGUGGGCCCACUGUCAGGAGCCCACGGUCUAGUGGGGAACUGCCAUGGAAACCCAAGUACAAUAUGGUGCCAGGCACGCUACAAAUGUUAAUCCACAGAGGACAUGGGUCAUAUAGAGAAAGGAGGGGUGGAGGAGGAGUGUCGAGGAAGGCGUUGGAGAGGAGACGCAAAGCACUGCCAAAGCACAGCUUGGCAGGAAUUUUCUGGAUGGAAUGAGUGAGAGAGAAGCACGCCAGGCAGAGGGAUCACACAAUGAGAAAGAGUUAUGAAAAAUGCCGUCUGUGGGGACCUCGAAGUUCAUGGUGGAGGGGUAAGGUGUGAGGAGAGAGAGGCAGGGUAGGUGAUGAGCCACAGGAGUGUCAACCUAUCCCAUCCCUUGUGUGAGGUGCAGAGGACCUCCUGCCCUGCACGAACACGCUCUGCCAUAAGCAGUAACAUCUUUGUGCAUUUUUUAAAUUUUAAUCUUAAUUUUUAUUUGAGAGAGAGAGCUCGAGCGAGUGUGCUCGCACAU
Long non-coding RNA from Leopardus geoffroyi (Geoffroy's cat), 2949 nucleotides. RefSeq lists it as uncharacterized. The record is from RefSeq and is a predicted model, not a curated record. NCBI's taxonomy places the organism in Eukaryota, Metazoa, Chordata, Mammalia, Carnivora, Felidae. The transcript has 5 exons.